Molecule: long non-coding RNA, 259 nt
Filed under: Capsicum annuum
Lineage: Eukaryota; Viridiplantae; Streptophyta; Magnoliopsida; Solanales; Solanaceae
Description: long non-coding RNA (CANN_LNC013570)
Source: RNAcentral
AAUAAUGAAAGACCUAAAAGAAAAAUUAAUAUGGAUAGAAAAAACCUUAGAAAAUUUAGAUAAAAGUACAUGUGAUAGUUUAUAUAAUUUAAAAAACUCACUACGAGAAGAACAACACAAGAUAAUAAAUAACAUUGAAAAUCUAGAAUUAGAUAUACAUUAUAGCACAGAUAGGAUAAAAUAUUAUACAGAAAUUUGUAACUCUGCAAUUACUACAGGAUAAAAUAAUUAAUGAAUAUAUCUUACGAAAAAAGUAAAU